CAGUAGCCACGGUAAAACGAAGGGUGCAAGCGUUAAUCGGAAUUACUGGGCGUAAAGCGUGCGUAGGCGGUGAGUUAAGUCUGCUGUGAAAUCCCCGGGCUCAACCUGGGAAUGGCAGUGGAUACUGGCUCGCUAGAGUGUGUCAGAGGAUGGUGGAAUUCCCGGUGUAGCGGUGAAAUGCGUAGAGAUCGGGAGGAACAUCAGUGGCGAAGGCGGCCAUCUGGGACAACACUGACGCUGAGGCACGAAAGCGUGGGAAGCAAACAGGAUUAGAUACCCGAGUAGUCCCUGUCUCUUAUAC
Molecule: ribosomal RNA, 301 nt
Filed under: uncultured bacterium
Lineage: Bacteria
Description: partial 16S ribosomal RNA
Rfam family: Bacterial small subunit ribosomal RNA
Source: RNAcentral